GGCGGCGUGCUAUACAUGCAGUCGAGCGAACAGGACGAGGAAGCUUGCUUCUCUGAUGUUAGCGGCGGACGGGUGAGUAACACGUGGAUAACCUACCUAUAAGACUGGGAUAACUUCGGGAAACCGGAGCUAAUACCGGAUAAUAUUUUGAACCGCAUGGUUCAAAAGUGAAAGACGGUCUUGCUGUCACUUAUAGAUGGAUCCGCGCUGCAUUAGCUAGUUGGUAAGGUAACGGCUUACCAAGGCAACGAUGCAUAGCCGACCUGAGAGGGUGAUCGGCCACACUGGAACUGAGACACGGUCCAGACUCCUACGGGAGGCAGCAGUAGGGAAUCUUCCGCAAUGGGCGAAAGCCUGACGGAGCAACGCCGCGUGAGUGAUGAAGGUCUUCGGAUCGUAAAACUCUGUUAUUAGGGAAGAACAUAUGUGUAAGUAACUGUGCACAUCUUGACGGUACCUAAUCAGAAAGCCACGGCUAACUACGUGCCAGCAGCCGCGGUAAUACGCAAGCGUUAUCCGAAUUAUUGGGCGUAAAGCGCGCGUAGGCGGUUUUUUAAGUCUGAUGUGAAAGCCCACGGCUCAACCGUGGAGGGUCAUUGGAAACUGGAAAACUUGAGUGCAGAAGAGGAAAGUGGAAUUCCAUGUGUAGCGGUGAAAUGCGCAGAGAUAUGGAGGAACACCAGUGGCGAAGGCGACUUUCUGGUCUGUAACUGACGCUGAUGUGCGAAAGCGUGGGGAUCAAACAGGAUUAGAUACCCUGGUAGUCCACGCCGUAAACGAUGAGUGCUAAGUGUUAGGGGGUUUCCGCCCCUUAGUGCUGCAGCUAACGCAUUAAGCACUCCGCCUGGGGAGUACGACCGCAAGGUUGAAACUCAAAGGAAUUGACGGGGACCCGCACAAGCGGUGGAGCAUGUGGUUUAAUUCGAAGCAACGCGAAGAACCUUACCAAAUCUUGACAUCCUUUGACAACUCUAGAGAUAGAGCUUUCCCCUUCGGGGGACAAAGUGACAGGUGGUGCAUGGUUGUCGUCAGCUCGUGUCGUGAGAUGUUGGGUUAAGUCCCGCAACGAGCGCAACCCUUAAGCUUAGUUGCCAUCAUUAAGUUGGGCACUUAAGUUGACUGCCGGUGACAAACCGGAGGAAGGUGGGGAUGACGUCAAAUCAUCAUGCCCCUUAUGAUUUGGGCUACACACGUGCUACAAUGGACAAUACAAAGGGCAGCGAAACCGGAGGUCAAGCAAAUCCCAUAAAGUUGUUUCAGUUCGGAUUGUAGUUGCAACUCGACUACAUGAAGCUGGAAUCGCUAGUAAUCGUAGAUCAGCAUGUACGGUGAAUACGUUCCCGGGUUUGUACCCCCCCGUCCACCACGAGAGUUUGUAACACCCGAAGCCGGUGGAGUAACCUUUUAGGAGCUAGCCGUCGAAGG
This 1425-nucleotide ribosomal RNA is filed under the name Staphylococcus aureus. RNAcentral's name for it is "16S ribosomal RNA". It matches the Rfam family "Bacterial small subunit ribosomal RNA". The record is from RNAcentral. Lineage: Bacteria; Bacillati; Bacillota; Bacilli; Caryophanales; Staphylococcaceae.